RNAcentral lists this long non-coding RNA (1512 nucleotides) under Mus musculus (house mouse). Its description in RNAcentral is "long non-coding RNA chr1:43114433-43115945". Lineage: Eukaryota; Metazoa; Chordata; Mammalia; Rodentia; Muridae. The record is from RNAcentral.
AUUUAUGAUAUUAAAUAUUGCAUGAAUUGUUGAUGCUACAGUAAGGUUUUAAAUACAUUGUUACCUACGGGGUUGAUAAGUUAAUAUUGUUGAACUGUGCUCCUAUAUGUAAUCGUCAAGGUACAUUUUAAAAGUGCAGCUUUUAGAGUACAACAACACAUUGUAUUUUAUAUUCAGUUGACCUCUCUGCUUCCACUGGCGUUUCUCUUUUUAAGGAGAGAGUUAGCCAUUUGACGGUUUUAAGUCAGUGGGAACUUAUUUUUAGUUACUUGGUGAAAUUAAAUUUUAAUUUGUAUAUUUAACGUACAGAGUAGGUUGGUAAUAACAGCUGAACUGUGUAACAUUGUUGCUUCAAAUUGAAGUUUAUACUAUGAACACUCAGCAUCUACGCUCACAUAGCAGCAUAUUGUUGAGCUGUCUUGAGUUUGAGAAGUGAAGACGCAUUGACCCAUGCACUGUGUAUUACGUAGUGCCUCCGUCACGGAGCGCCAUGCCUCCUGAAGGGAUCAUGGAAUUGGCUUCCUCCAUGCGAUGAAGCAUCGUCUGCUGGGCAUCUGGAGCAGCAGCAUUGGGAGGGUUGUUCUGAAGUAGUGUUUCAGUUUGGGCUAGAAGGACUUGAUGAGAGUGGUGAACAAGUCUGGAGUAAGUUUCCUUAAUAGUGUAUAGGGUUAGUAUUGUUGCUUUUGAUUCUGUAUUCCAGUGAGGCAAGAUAUUCUUAUUCCUGGGUUGGGCAAAUAGAUGGCAUUAGAGGCAGUGGGAAGCUCUUGAGUUACAAAAGGCACCACAUCCACCAUCUGCAAGUCAGCCUCCUUUUUUUCCUACUUUGUAUCUCCUGGUCUCUUUCCCGUUCUCCUUCCUCUUAGGUCUAAGCUUCAGACUUAGGUUUGCAGAUUGUAUUGUGUCUGUGACCUUACUCCAUUCACUAAGGGGUGAAGAUAGUCUGACCCCAAUCCUCUUCAUCUGAGGGGGUGUUAGCUCACUGUGUGGAUCCUACAGUCUGGAAUCCUGCAGCACCAGGGCACUGAAUUGCUUCCCAAAGGCUGUCACAGCAGCAUAGCUUUCCAGGGUAGCCUUAUUAGUGUAGGCAGCUGCCAGACCCUUGGAAGAGUGGCUCACUACUGCCAUAAGGCUGUAUUUGCUGGUAUUAAAAUUCUUCAGAAUUGAAAUUUUCAUUUGAAAUUCUGUUUUGGUUGACUUAAGUUUGAGAGACAGUUCAAAAACUGAUGUAGAGACUCAUUCAACAGCAAUGACUUUUUAAAAACUUACAUUAAGUAAAACUGCCAGUAGAUUAAAUCCUCCCCAUACGUAAGAGCUUUCUCUACUCACUACUGUGGAAUCCGAGCAUUGUUGAGAGGCUACUAAUCGGUCAACAUGUUUUUAAGUGUGCUUUUAUUAAAUGCUUGUGUACGUUUUGUAAUUCAGUGUAGAAAAGGUUGACCUUGUAAUGUACAUUUUUUGUAUGUAUAGCCUUUUAAGUAGCCUUGUCCUUAUUUAAAUAAACUGAAUAAAACU